ACGGCGGCGCGGACACGCCCCAGCUCUGCGCGCCCGGCCCCGAAGCUCCACCCCCGGCUCCACCUCGGACAGCGCCCAGAUCUGUCCCGGGGUCUUCUACCCACCCCUCGCGCAGUGCUCUGACCCUCAGUGGCUCUGUGACCGUGUGCGACAGCGCGUAAAGGCCUGCGUGCACCCGGGCACGGAGCGAUAAGGAAGCGUGGGGCUGACGUGCGUGAGGAGGUGUGGGGGGCAUGAAGAAUGUGCGUGAGCGUGAGAAGGCGAUGUGUAAUCAGCUCUCUUCUGCACACAGAUUAAACACAGAGCACUGUCACGUGACUGGUGUCCGACACACCACCAGUGGAUGAUGGGUGACCCUCAGCAUGAAAGCAGGUGACCAGCCCACUGGGCUCUUGUGUCCUGUAUUCUACUGUAGACGUGGACAGCUGAAGACCGUGACCUGAGGGGUUCAGUCUUCCCAUAAGAAUGGACUCUGCAGGGGCUGGAGAGAUGGCUCAGUGGCUAAGAACAUUGCCUGCUCUUCCAAAGGUCCUGAGUU
Molecule: long non-coding RNA, 538 nt
Organism: Arvicola amphibius (Eurasian water vole)
Lineage: Eukaryota; Metazoa; Chordata; Mammalia; Rodentia; Cricetidae
Exons: 3
Source: RefSeq, a predicted model, not a curated record